AAAAACAUGGCCUUUUGAUUUUAAUUUAAGGUCAGACCUGCUCAAUGAAUAUUAAAUAGCCGCAGUAUUUUGACUGUGCAAAGGUAGCAUAAUCAUUAGUUUUUUAAUUGAAAGCUGGAAUGAAAGGUUGAAUGAGAAAAUAGCUGUCUCUAUAUAAAUUUGAUAGAAUUUUAUUUUUAAGUUAAAAAGCUUAAAUUUUAAUAAAAGACGAGAAGACCCUAUAGAGUUUUAUAUUUAUUUAUAAUAUUUAUAUAUAUAUAUAUAUAUAUUUUUUAGUAUUUUAAAUUAUAUUAUUUUAAAAUAUUUGGUUGGGGUGAUUAGAAAAUUAAUAAAACUUUUCUUUUAAUUGAAACAUUUAUUUAUGAUAUUAUGAUCCUUUUUUAGAGAUUAUAAGAUAAAAUUACCUUAGGGAUAACAGCGUAAUUUUUUUUGAGAGUUCUUAUCGAUAGAAAAGAUUGCGACCUCGAUGUUGGAUUAAAAUAAAUUUUUGGUGUAGAAGCUAAAUUAAUUAGGUCUGUUCGACCUUUAGAAUUUUACUUGAUCUGAGUU
RNAcentral lists this ribosomal RNA (549 nucleotides) under Ceutorhynchus turbatus. RNAcentral describes it as "partial 16S ribosomal RNA". It matches the Rfam family "Bacterial large subunit ribosomal RNA", at positions 1809 to 2611 of the family's 2925-position model. The record is from RNAcentral. Lineage: Eukaryota; Metazoa; Arthropoda; Insecta; Coleoptera; Curculionidae.